This 561-nucleotide ribosomal RNA is filed under the name uncultured Actinomycetales bacterium. Its description in RNAcentral is "bacterial SSU rRNA". It matches the Rfam family "Bacterial small subunit ribosomal RNA", at positions 47 to 620 of the family's 1533-position model. The record is from RNAcentral. Lineage: Bacteria; Bacillati; Actinomycetota; Actinomycetes; Actinomycetales.
CUUAACACAUGCAAGUCGAACGGAAAGGCCCCAGCUUGCUGGGGUGCUCGAGUGGCGAACGGGUGAGUAACACGUGGGUGAUCUGCCCUGCACUUCGGGAUAAGCUUGGGAAACUGGGUCUAAUACCGGAUAGGACCAUCGUUUAGUGUCGGUGGUGGAAAGUUUUUUCGGUGUGGGAUGAGCUCGCGGCCUAUCAGCUUGUUGGUGGGGUAAUGGCCUACCAAAGCGUCGACGGGUAGCCGGCCUGAGAGGGUGUACGGCCACGUAGGGACUGAGAUACGGCCCAGACUCCUACAGGAGGCAGCAGUGGGGAAUACUUGCACAAUGGGCGCAAGCCUGAUGCAGCAUCGCCGCGUGGGGGAUGACUGCCUUCGGGUUGUUACUCCUUUCGCUAAGGACGAAGAGAAUAUCGACGGUACUUGGAGAAGAAGCACCGGCUAACUACGUGCCAGCAGCCGCGGUAAUACGUAGGGUGCGAGCGUUGUCCGGAAUUACUGGGCGUAAAGAGCUCGUAGGUGGUUUGUCGCGUCGUUUGUGUAAGUCCGCAGCUUAACUGCGGGA